UUAACAUAAAGUUUGAUUGGGAAAGUACUUACAAAUUUGUCUAUCAAUACAUCAUUUACAUCUUCAGGAUGCCACAAUCUACUCCGUUCUAUAGGGAAAUCAGGAUUUUCUGCAUGCACGAUAUCUCUGCCCAUAUCCCGAAGCAAAUCAUGCAUCAUAAUCUUGUUUUCUCUAUUAAUAGUUACAAGGCACCGGUCAAGGAGGACCUUGAUUCCUGUUGUUGCAUAAAAGCCACAACCAUCCAAGAUUUGUAUGACAUCGUUCUUGUUCAUUCCGAUAAAAAAACAAGCUAUAUCGAGGAAUAUCCGCCUUUUGUAAUUAUCAUUUAGCCUGUUGUAGCUUAUUUUCAGUUGUGCCUGAAUUUCUGCACGAGGAAUUAUUUUCAAUUCAUCCAAUAUACUUCUCCAUUCAUCUACGCUUCGUUUGAAAAGAGUAGAUCCUAAAACUUCAAGAGCCAGCGGCAAUCCUCCACAGUAAUUGACAACUUCUCUUUCGAGCGCAAGAUAUUGACUAGGACAACUACUACUUCUGAAAGCAUGCCAACUUAGGAGCUCAAGAGCUUCUUCUCGGUCCAUUACUUUCGCCUGAUAUAUCUUAUCAACUGCAAAUUCUUUUAGCACACUUUCGUUUCUAGUUGUGAUGAUGAUUCUGCUCCCCGGGCCAAAAAAGUGGCAAUUUCCAACUAAUUCGCGUAAUUGCUUCACAUCGUCUACAUCAUCAACUAUGACAAGUACCUUUAAGCGUCGAAAUCUUUCCCUUACCAAGGCGGUCCCUGCAGCAACACUACUUACCUUUGUCUUGGUUUGCAAGAUAUCAAAAAGAAGUUGUUUUUGCAAUUUUUCUAGUUUCUUUUCCCUCACUUUUUCAAGGAAACUUUUACCUUCAAACCUUUCAUAAAAUUCGUUAUAAAUGGCUUUAGCAAUUGUUGUUUUACCUAUUCCACCCAUGCCUGAAAUUCCAAUCACACGAACAUCAUCUGAAUCUCCGAUGCCUAAAUAAUUACUGAUAUCUAGCACUCGAGUAUCUAUUCCGACUUGAUAGAGCGCUACGUCAAAGUAUUUGUUGUUCAACUUCGUAGUGACGUCAUUGGUAAUCAUCCUGAUAAACUUUGCUUCAUGCCUGGCAUUAGUCAAGUUGAGAAGCAAAACGAAGAUUGUUAUACAACGAAAUCGAACUAAUUAAUACACAAAAUUAUUUAUCAUGACUAGAGAUUUUAAUUAAGACAAUUUUUUUUGAGGUGGUGUGUUUAAACUUAGCAAACAUCAAUUAAAAUUAAAAUAAAGAAACACAAACAAAAAAACCAGCAUCCCUUCCCUCCGCAGCCAAUCGCCGGCAGCUUCCCAGCUGUGAUUAGUGUAGCCUUAACAGUUUAAGCUUUAUUGUAUGAUUUUAUUACAGAGGUCUAAGAAAUCGUAUGAUUCCAAAUUAAUAAGCAAAGGUACGUUAAAGCCUUAAUUCAUAAGAAAAGAAAUUAGAAAGUACCCGUCUAAAGUGUUUCUGAGAUCCCAGCCAGACAAAUUCGAAGCUUCAGUAAGAGCAGCUCUCCACCUCUCUACCUUUUUUCAUCUGUAUGUUUCAGAAACGAUUGUGCAAAACUACAAGUCUGUUUCCUAACAUGCGAAGGAUCAACGUCAUAGAAUAUUGGCAAAACUAAUUGCCCUAGCGUUCUUCUACACUCCAUGAUCUUAACCAGCUCCUCGAGACACCAGCUGGAGUCCGAGUACCGUCUUGAGAAGACGAUGAUAGAGAUCCUAGAACCCUGGAUUGCAUGCACAAGUUCGGUAGUUAUAUCUUCUCCUCUUCUUAGUUCGUCGUCAAUAAAGGUGUUGAUUCCGGCCUUUGUCAAUGCUUCGUGGAGGUGGCCCACGAAGUUUUUACGUGUGUCUUCACCUCUGAAGCUUAUGAACACUUCGUAGAGCAAGCCUUUUGAGAAGGAAGACAUGGAUGGGGAGGUGGAGGCGGAUGAUGAGGAUGAGAUUGAGGGUGAGGAGGUGGAGGAGGACGAUGAGGAGGAGGUGGAGGAGGACGAUGAGGAUGAGGGCGAGGAGGAGGAUGAGGACGAGGUUUUAUCGGGGACGGAGAUAUUCAUUUAGCGAAAGACGAGGCCUAGGGAGUAGAGGAGGAAGAUGAGGACAUCAUAGACAAGAUCGGAAUUGCGAGCCGUAAAGUGGUUGGACACUAACACCAGCACCAAAGUUAACAGCUUCCCUAAGCUCGACCAGGUAUCCAUUUCCUUCAUUUUCUUUAUGCAAAUUGAAGGUUUUUGGCUAUAUUGAUUUUCUUUCUUCUGCAGGACUUCAUUGCAAGAGUUAAUUUGAAAGUACCCUAUUGCAAAAGGGAUCUGACUUCUCUGCCUUCCCACUUCCCAUACAUUCUGAUCCCCUCUUAUUUGUGCGGUCACGGUUAAGCCACGUCAACAUUUUAUAUUACUAUUGACUUUUGUCUUAUUAUCUUUAUAAAAAAAUUAAUAUAAAAUAUUAACGUGGCUUAACCGUGACCGCACAAAAUAAGAGGGGAUAGGAGUGUAUGGGAAGUGGGAGGAGAAAAGUCAGGUUCAUUACGGAAUCUCGGAUUAUGACGACCUCUACCAGUCUUCGUAUUCAAUUUUUUAUGACGACCUCUACCAGUCUUCCUAGUCAAUUUUUUAAUUCAACUUACAAGUUUGGUAGAGAGUGCCAAAUGCAUAUUUGCAGGGUUCUCACUUUCAGUAUGGCUAAAUAUCAAGGAAAAAUAUAUAUUUAUAGACAAUCUAUACUAUAUAUUAAGAAAACCCUCCUUGUCAAAAUUUUCCCCAUUUUUCCAAUUUUGCCCUCACUUUUGAUACACAACCUUGACAAAAAGGAGGGCAAAAUAGUAAUUUUGCAUCUUUUGAGAAAAUGACAAUCAUAUCCCUAUUUUCCCUAUUUUACCCUCACUUUUGAUACACAAUAUUUACAUAAAGAGGGCAAAAUGGUAAUUAUGUAAUAUUAAGAAAAAUAUGCCCUUAUUAGGAGAUCUCAUCAUCAUUGUCUCAUACUCUUUUUAAAAAAUUUAAAAACUAAUCACACUCCUUAAUCUAAAAUAAAAAAGAAAAUGAAAUUGUUCACACACAAAGUGUGUGCUCAUCUUCUAGUUUGGUAUAAAAUAAUCGAAGUUGUUAUGGAAAAUGGCAUCAAGGAUGUUAGAGCAUCCCCAAUGGGGGCUUUAUCCUCCAUGAGGCUACCACAUUUUUAGCCUUAGCGAGAAAUUUCAUCCUCAAUGAGCCAGAAAAUGGGGCUAGAUCCACCACUAGGGCUAGUAACUUCAUUUCUUGGGUAGCAUAAAAUCAGGCUACAUCUAGCCCCAAAAAACAGUGGGUCCCACAAAAAAAGUAGCAACCUAUGUGAGCAAAAUUCUAUCAUUCUCCCUCCACUUGCGAAUACACUCAUACUCUCAUUUUAUUAUUUUUUAAUUCUUUUUUCUUACUUACUUUGCUUGCAAUUUGACUAAUUAAUGAUUGUUUUAAAUUCUAUAAGAAUUAAAAUUUCAAAUUGAUUUAACGUUCAUGAGCAUUGAUGGGUGAAAUUUUCAAAUAUUUUUUUUCAAAAUUAUAUGAUACUAAUUUACCAAUUGGUGUUAGGUAAAAUUAUUGUAUUAUACGUGAAAAUCAAAUUAUUUCAGAAAACGAAGUGAGGGUUUAUUUCUUAUAAUAAAUGAGAUUGAGAUAAGGGAAUCUAAUCUAACAAACAAUUCAUAAGUGAUAAAAUCUAACUUUGUCACAAUUUGAACUUUGUAGGUGGAAGGGUUAAAUUUAAGAUAGCACGUCCAAAAAUCAACUUAAGAAAAGCUAACACAAAAAAAAAAAAAUUCAUUGCUUAAUCAAAUUACUACAUAAAUAAAUAUAUAUAGCCCAUAUAGAGCCCGAAAGAUAUAGCCCCUCAUUGUGAGAGAUUCUUUUAUACAACCCCAAAAAUUUCUUGGAACUAUAAAAUGGGUUGUAUCCAUCACUUUUCCAGCCCCAUAUAAAAUAUUAAAACCCCUCACUGGGGAUGCUCUUAGGAUUGGUAGUUUAAUAGUGGCCUUGUCUUUCAUCAUCGUUACCAUCCGUAGUAGUUGAAGAAUGACUCUGAUAUAUGUCCAACCACUUUGGAUUUAUAUGUCCAACCACUUUGGAUUUACUUGUGCUCUUACUUUAGAAUGUUGAAAAUUCAAACUGCAUCAAAACAACAGAUCAAUUGAUUUUAAAUGUUUAUUUUUUCACAAUUGAUGUUACUUAUUUUUAAGCUAAAUUAAGAGAAUAUAAGUAUUUUAAUUUAUAAUGAACUUAAGUCAAACAAAAACUAUCUAUUCACAAGGACAAUCCACCGCCUUACAUAUCAAACCUUGUACCAAACUCCUUCUAGACCACUCUUCCAUAUGCCCCCGGACCCACAGAAGUGUUUUAGGCUGAACUAGAAAAUGUGCCCGCGCUUCGCUGCGGGGGUUGAAUGCAUCUGUUGUGAGCUUGAAUAAUUUCCACAGAAAGUGGGCAAAAUGGUGGUAGGAACAUAAUCACAUUCUCAAAUGUAGCAAUUCAGUUACCAUAUAUUUGAGUUGAGUGAAUCCAACAAAAUCACCAAUCAACAUACGCAUCGUAUCAGUAAUCAAAAAUUGAAAAUUUAUCAAUUAUUUUCAAAUAUUCAAUAAAUUAAACCACACAAAAUUAAAAAAUAUAUGACGCGACCCUACAGCGACAACAAAUUGAUUUCUCCACUGCAGAGAGGUUGAUCACCAGAAGCAGGGUCAAUAAUGGCCAGCCUCUAAUGAGCAAAGAAACAAUCUCCAGGCUGGCAUAGGCCACUCCAAUUCAGGUCAACGGGGAUUCAAUCUAUCAAAUCCAUUCAUGCAGAUUGAUUACCUGAUUGGUAUUGAAAAGGAAACAAAACCCCCCCAAUUUUUUGAAAUUUAGAGUAGGAUGGAUCGCUUACCUUUAGCAAAGCGGAGGAACGUUGGUGGUGCGGAGGGACUGGUGGUCCAGCGCAAUUCGCUAGAUUUGAGAGCGAGAAAAGGCUCUCCACUGCAUUUUCCAUGCAUUCAAUCAUCAAAUUGUAGUUCGUUUCAAUUGAUUUCUGCUGAAAUUUAAAAAAUUAAUAAACAUUUCUAAAAAUAAAAGUAAACUUCAAGCUACAGACAGUUUGACUUGAAUGGCUUCAGCUGGAGCUAAGUAGGCUUACAGUGGGUGAAUCAAAGGGAUAAAGACACUGCAAUUUUCAGCUUCAUACCAAAGGAUAGACAAAGCACGACAGCAUGUUGCUAACUAAUUGUUCAAUCGAACUGAAAGGAAAAGUUGCAGGACAAAUAGCUCACUAAAGAAUCCCAUGUUGAGGACCUUUCCAGGCACGCUUUAUUCAACAGAGCUUUCAGGUUUUCAGUUUUCAGCUUAUCUUGAAAUUCAAUGCGUCGGGAAUCAGGGAUUUGCUGAGGCAGGUAAGAGUAACACAAGCAUCCAGUCAAUUCGAUUUGCUGAGGCAGUUGCAGUUGCAGGUAUGAGUAAAGUCAUGACAAAUUGUGAAUGGAGGAGAAAUACUAUUACCAUAAUCAACCAUAAUAUGUAAGUAGCCGAAUGUUUAGCCUGUGCUUGGUAGUCAUCGAAGCUAUUAUCUGGAAUGAUGGAGCAGGAGUCGAGGAGCUGUAACUCGUUAUUCAUAAAGAUUCUGAAGUCGUCAUUCAUGCUGUUAUUCUGCUUCGCAUGGCUGGACAGACCAGUAUGAUCAGUUAUGAAAUGCUUUAUCCAAAAUAAGAAAGGAAGCGGCGAUGAAGCCAUAGAGCCUGUUUACAGUGAAUACCACAGAAAUUAAAACUCGGGGGGUUCUCAGAUGAUUAGUGAAAUAUACAAAAACACCCCACGUACCUCUCUUCCUAUGUAGUGCUUUAUCAACAUUUCAUCCCAAUCAAGCUCUUCCUGACAUGACCACAUUUGACACAAGUAUCAACUGUAAACGUUCAUGUAACGAAGAUAGUACAAUAUAAAAAGUGCUUGCCCAUAGGAACUCAUGGUCAUAAUUACUGAAAAGAGAUUAAAGAAGAUUUGUACCUUCCACAGCCGAUAUAUCUCAACACUGUAACCAGAAGCUGAAAUCUCUUGUUUAUAGCAUUCGUCCUCUAAAUCUUACGCAUCAGCCGCUGCAAAAUGAUAGAAACAUUGAUUGUGAGGGGAAUUAAAGUCCAGCACAUCGACAACUUUGUCUCUCAGUAUCACAACAAAAGGAAAGCAAGGUCUCACACUGCGAUAAUGGGAGCAACUAUGAUCAGCAACAUGCAAGGAGGCCCAGGUUCGGGAUCUUUCUAAUUCAUGUAGCAACUGCAAGCACAAAUUUAUGGUGCAUAUAACUCAUCAUAAACACGGACGAGAGAGAAAAAUGGAUAUGUAUGGUACAAAUACGAAUCUCGGAAUAUGAAACUGCAUAAAAUCAACAAUUACUCUCAAACUAUCAGUCACAUUUGUUGAGAAUGAAGGCUAAAAAUAAUUCUCUGCUUAUCCUUUUCAAAUGUAUAGGAGUGCAAUUUGGCUCAGAAUUGUUUACAUCACAUAUAAAUAUGAAAUUCCUAGAAGGAAACCUGAAUUAUUCCCCGGAUAAGAAAAAUCGAGAUUAGAUCUAACCUGUUCUCUUGUCAUGUAGGAAACCAACCAGCAACGGUGGUUCCAUGCACGGUAAUUCAUUUUUGACCUCUGUAAAGAAAGAUUUUGAAUUACACAAAAGUGAACAAUGACAAGGAAAAUUCUCACAUAAGAAAAUUGUGGAACAUAUGAAAUGCCCAUACAGAAUAACAGUUGCUAUUGAAACCAUGGACACUGAUCCACAUCACGUUUGGAAAAGAGAGAGUGAAUUACAACUAUUAUCUGUACUAGUUUGAUACAGAUAUUUAGCAGCUCAGUAGGAAACCUUAUUUUGCAGACAAGAUGACUGCCAGAUGCACACAAUUAUAAAAGUGCACAAUGUGUUGGGGUGACGGAAGUCAUUUCUCAAGUCUUUUAUGCGGUGUGUGUGAGUUAUGUUGUUUUUCCCUACGAAAGCAAUAAUGAGACUGAACAAAAACAACAUAUAAGAUAAUUGAAUUAAAGUUUAAAUAAACCUUUGUAAAUUAAAAGCAUGCAGUUCCUGAACUGAAUUUAAACCUCAGCUAUUUUCUCCACCAGCUCAGAGUCUUUGGUCACAAUCUCCGACAGAGUUGAACACUUUCCAGCAAUCGACUUGAUGACCCACUGCCUGCAAUGAUCGAUAUGUUCUUAAAAUUCAAUUAUUAAAGUCAUUACAUGGGAAAACUAUAAUGAGGGACUCGAUUAAACCCUACCCGGCUGAGUACUUAUAAAUAAGAAAGUAUAGAAAUCAUGCCAGUUGUUAAGCAUAUAACGGAAAACUUCUGCUAAAAAUGCUACCUAUGGCUCCAAGCAUACUCAAACUUAGGUGAAUAUGAAAGAACAAGUGCUGACAAGAGAAGUUCAUCCAAAAAUGCUGAGUGCUUAUGCUUCUGCGACACAACAAGCUUCCUGCAUCACAUAUACUAGACCAAGUAGGUGUCAUGACAUAAAUUGAAAAGCAGACAAGAUCAAGAAGAUCCAAAAUUAUUGAUAUAUAAUUAUAGUAAAUAAUUGCACAUCAAAAACUCUAGAGGAAGAUAGAUGAAUCUCCAUGUCAGGAAACCAAAGAACAUGACGCUACAAAGGACCGUUGCUUCACAUGCAUAUCUGCUACUAUUUUAAAACAAUUAUGUUAGAACAAGUGUAAGAGAGAGGAAAAAGCACUACUGAACCGAAAAUGAAAAGGGGGAAAACCUGGAAUGCCAUGCAGUGCCGAAAUCACUACUUAGCAACAAAAGCGCCCUGCUAUGCUUCAUGACGUCACUUUCAAAACUAUUAUCCAAAGAUAAUGACACAUACAAAGACUUCUCAUCCCCAGAUACAUCUGAUCUGCUGUUAAGUGCCUUCUAUUGUCUACUUGCUGCCAUAAACGCAUGCUUAGAAGCUUCAUAUAACGGGAAAAAAAAUUGCGUUGAAAUCCCCAACUUAUGAUCCCCAUUCCAAAAAACUGAGUUGCCAUUAGCUGAGCGCAUCACAGUACUGCCAUCAGAUGAGGGUGAGAAAUGGACUGCCUCUUUAUUCAGCUUGGAAAAUUGGGACGGGUGAAGAAAUACCACUUCAUCUCUGGGUUCAAUCAAGAGGAAAGAACAAUAUAUAAGACGAUGGCAUUACUACAUAUUCCAAAAACGUAACUGAGAACCCUUCCAAAAUUAAAAAAGAGAACACCUCUACACAAAAUCAUAAUGCACCCACACACACACACACACACACACACACACAAUUCAAAAACUUUCAGCAUAAGAAUAAGGCAUACUUGGACCGAAAUCGAAAUUCCAGAUUCGGUAACAGUAAUGAACUAACACUGAAUCAACAUUUUGAAUUUGAACUAACACUGAAUGGACAUUUUCCAAAAAAUAUGAAAUCCCAAGUAAAAUCAAGCUGUUACUUUUACAUAUGCAUGGAUCAACUCAUUUGGGAUCAAAUAUCUGUACUUUUCGACACGGAAAUUACACUUUGUGUACACCAACCAAGCACGAAUAAAACCUAUAUAUACAAAACUCUAUGGGGCAUUUCAUCGAACACAAAGUCUGCAUCUUUACUGAAAACAGAGAAGCUAAACCUGAAAUCACUGAUUAUCUACUAACAUACUACUAACAUACAAGUCAGAAGAUCGACCGUGUCUGCUUCGGAACGACGCAGCUCCUCUCCUUCCAUAUUUUCUGUUUGUUUCCCGAGAAAAUCCAAGGGAAAGGAAAACCCGAGGGAAAAUGACAGCUUUAUACUAUGUUGGAACAAAAUGGUAAAUUAAUUAAAAAAAGAAGUACGUGGAAGUUUUUUAUUAGUUGUUGAAAUAAGUUGCAUGAUGCUGGCCGUAGAUGAUCCAGUUUCGGGCCAAUGUCACACUGACACGUAUACACCAUUCUUCGACUUUUAUUUUCUUGUAUAAAAUUUUGGAGCUGCUAUGGCUAUUCAGAAGAGAAUGCUUUGAAUAAUGAUAUAUUCUUCUCAAUAAGAGGAACUUAUAGGUGUACAACCCUAACAUAAAAGGAAAAAAAACUAAUAACAAGUGAUUACAUGGGAUUACAUAUCAAUUAGGGAUCCUACCUAAAAUACAAAAGUCAACACUCCCCCUCAAGUUGGUGCAUAUAUGUCGCUCAUGCCCAACUUGUGUAAGAAACUUGAAAACUUGUGACUCGAAACAGCUUUUGUGAGGAUAUCUGCCAACUGAUCUUCAGUUCUUAUCGCCGGUACUUCAAUUAUUUUCCCUUCCAAUUUUUCUUUGAUGAAGAAUCGAUCAACUUCAACAUGCUUUGUUCUAACAUGUUGUACUGGAUUAUCUGCAAUGUCACGAGCAGCUUUAUUAUCACAAAAUAAUUUCAUGGGCUGAUCAUGUUGUAUACCCAAAUCACUUAACAGAAGCUUAAGCCACAAAAUUUCACAAAUCCCCAAAGCCAUACCUCUGUAUUCUGCUUCUGCACUGGAACGGGCAACCACAUUCUAUUUCUUACUUCUCCAUGUAACCAAGUUACCCCCAACAAACGUAAAGUAACCUGAUGUUGAGCGUCUAUCAUCAAUAGAACCUGCCAGUCUGCAUCAGUAUAACCUUCAACACUAAAGUGAUUAUUCCUCUUAAACAAAAUUCCUUUGCCCGGACUUCCCUUCAAAUAUCGCAAUAUUCUCAUCACGGCAUUUAUAUGUUGUUCUCCAGGAUCAUGCAUGUAUUGACUCACUACACUCAAGGCAUAAGCAAGGUCCGGUCUUGUGUGUGCCAAAUACAUCAACCGGCCUACUAACCUUUGGUAUCUUCCUUUGUCAACUGGUACUUGAUUAGGAUCAACACUAAGCUUUAAUCCUUCUUCUAAUGGUGUAGCUAAUGGCUGACAAGCUGACAUGCCAGUUUCGUGCAACAAAUCAAUAAUAUACUUCCUUUGAGACAAGAAAAUUCCAGAACUGCUUCUCGACACCUCAAUCCCUAAAAAAUAUUUUAGGGAUCCAAGGUCCUUCAUUUCAAAUUCUGCAGACAGGUAUCUUUGCAAGGCCGCACGUUCUUCAGGAUCAUUACCUGUUACCACCAUAUCGUCUACAUACACAAUAAGUGCAGUAAGCUUCCCAUUCUGUCUUUUCAGGAACAAAGUAUGAUCAGAGUUACUUUGUCUGUAACCAAAUGCUCUCAUAGAUUUUGUGAAUCUUCCGAACCAUGCUCGAGGGGACUGCUUCAAGCCAUACAAGGAUUUCUUCAACCUGCACACUUUUCUUUUGUAUUUAUCUGGAGCAUUACAUCCCGGUGGAAGAUCCAUAUAAAUCUCUUCUGUCAAGUCUCCAUGCAAGAAGGCGUUCUUCACAUCGAACUGUUGUAAGGGCCAAUUAAGAUUUGCAGCCAAGGACAACAAAACACGAACUAUGUUGAUCUUGGCUACAGGUGCAAAUGUAUAUGUGUAGUAGAUUCCAUAUUUUUGAGUGUAUCAUUUGCUACCAGUCUUGCCUUGAAACGAUCCACCGUCCCAUCUGCUUUGUAUUUCACAGUAUAGACCCAUUUGCAUCCCACAGGUUUCUUGCCAGCUGGCAAAUCUGUGAUCUCCCAGGUAGCAUUCUUCUUCAAAGACUUCAACUCUUCAUUCAUUGCUACUUGCCAACGUGGAUCAGUUAAAGCCUCCUGCACACUGUUAGGAAUAGAUACAGUAGAUAAUUGAUGUACAAACGACUUAUUUGAUUCUGACAGGUGACUGGUAGACACAUAAUUACUUAACGGGUAUAACACAUUAGACUCAAGGUUGGGCUUACUCACCGGAUACCUAGUUUUGCAUUUAGGGUCGGCUUCAUAAGUAAGUUUAGGAAUACCUCGGUUGACGCGAUCAGGGAGAUGAUGUGGUGGUGGUGCAUCCGGGAUCGAAGACGAUUGAUUAUGGUUAUUGGGACUCAAGAUCGACUGUGAGGUAGCUGGCGACACAGGGCUGUCUGGUGAUGAGGAAACUGGCAGUGAGCUAUCAGGCAGUGAGUUAUCUGGCGAUGUCGACUCGUCCCUUUCAAGGUUUUCAACAUUGUUUCCAUGUGAAUGAUCACCACUUGUCUCCAAGACAUUACCACUUAAUUCCAAUUCAUUCACAUCAUUAUUUUCGUGUGAGUGAUCACCACUUAUUUCCAAGACAUCACCAUUUAAUUCCAAAUCAUUCACUCUAUCUAUAUCUGGAAUAGUAUAAUCAAGAGUUUGAACUUCUUUCUGAUUCUCCCCCUGAAGUGAAGACUCGGGAUUGGCAAAGUACAUAUCAUUAUCAUGAAACGCAACAUCCAUAGUGACAAACAACUUAUUCGUCGGUGGGUGAUAACAACGGUAUCCUUUCUGCCUUGAUGCAUACCCCACAAACACACAUCGUAAGGCUCGAGGUUCAAGCUUACAUCGAUGUUGUUUAUGAAGAUGAACGAAGGCCAAACAACCAAACACAUGAGGUGGAAAAUUAGGGACUGCAUGAGCAUCAACAUGUGAAGAAAUUGCCUGAAAAGGUGUAUGAAAAUCAACCGAUCGGGAUGGAACACGAUUAAUGAGAUACGCAGCUGAGGUGAGAGCUUCUCCCCAAUAGCAUAACGGGAGACGAGCCUCGAGUAAAAAAGCACGAACAACCUCCAGAAGCUGACGGUUCUUUCAUUCGGCAACCCCAUUUUGUUGUGGAGUAUAUGGACAUGUAGUUUGAUGAACAAUCCCAUGAUGAUCAAGAAAGGCACGAAGUUCAGAGUUAACAUAUUCGCCACCAUUAUCACUCCUGAGAACCUGUAUUUGUGACUUAUAUUGUACUUGUACCAUUUUGUAAAACUGUUGAAACAAAGAAGUAACUUCACCUUUGGAUUUCAUCAAACAAACCCAAGUCAUACGUGUGCAGUCAUCAAUAAAAAUAACAAACCAAUGAGCACCACCAAAUGUAGCAGUUUUAGAUGGACCCCAAACAUCAGAAUGAAUUAUCAUAAAUGGAACAUAACUUUUAUUCAAACUGGAUGGAAACGAGGCACGAUGACUUUUAGCUAGUUCACAAACACCACAUUUAAAGCUAGAAACAUCAUGCUUAACAAAUAGGCUAGGAAACAACCUCCGUAGAUAACCGAAAGAAGCAUGUCCAAGUCGACGAUGCCACAACCAAACCUCCGAAGCUUUAUUCCGAUCCCCUGAAUUUCCGUCCACUGCAAGAGCUUGAGUCAACAUUCGAGAACUGUUUGAUGUCAGCUCCAAGUAGUAGAGCUUCCCUUUCCUAAUACCAUAACCAAUCGUCUUGCGAGUCCGAAUGUCCUUAAAAACACAAAAAGAAGGCCAAAAAAUCAAAAGACAAUGCAGGACGACAGUUAUUUGAGCAACAGAUAAUAAAUUAUAGUCAAGAGAAGGCACAACAAGUACGGUAUCAAGACUAAGGGUAUCUGAAAGGGAGACGGUUCCUUCCCCGAUAACAGGGGCAUGAUUACCAUUGGCGACACUGACGACAGUUUUGGUGGAUGGUUUUAGGCUACAUGUCUAAAAUCACAAGUCAUAUGUUCAGUAGCACCGGAAUCAAUUAUCCAUGUAUUAUUCGUAACAGAUGCAGAAACCUUUAAAGUUUUACCAUCGUUGUUUGUAUGUUCAGAAGCUACCUUAGCUUUGGCAAUCAAUGCACACGACUCAUUACAGGGGGGAUGACGAGUCCAAUGUGUCAUUGCUCUACGUGAGUUGAGUGCAACGUCUGAGGUGAUUGAUAGGGCCAAGAUUCCAAACCAACUAGGUCAACAAUGUGAGAUCCCUGGAACAAAAACAAACAGUAACACAAAAAAGGACAACCUUUUUUCCUUUUUCUUUUUUUUUUUUUUUUUUUUUUUUUUUUUUCUUUUUUUUCCUUUUUUUUUUCUUUUUUUUUUUUUUUUUCUUUUUUUCCUUUUUUUUUGAAUUCCUUCAGAACACGCAAAGCAAAAUAAAUGCACGUGGGGAGUUCCUUCAAAACACACAAAUCAAAAAAUAAAUGCAGGGAUCAUAUCAAAUCAGUUUAGCAGAACACAGGUUGGGCUGCAGAUGGUAUGAUGAGUCAAAUGCGUAGACGCCAGGAAGAGACAGAUCGGUUUCUGGUGCAGAAGAAAUCGUGGUUGUCAACCGGGAUUUGCAACGACAAGGUUUCUAGAUUAGGAUCUCGGUUUGUGGGAGUGCGAUGCAGCAACAGAUGGUAGUGGGUGACUGCAGGGAUCGGCUCAGUGAACUCGGAUCAGCAACGACGGCGUCGCUCGCUGGUGUGACAGUGCACUGCACAACUGGUUGCGCAACUAGUGAACUCGGAUCAGCAACGACGGCGUCGCUCGCUGGUGUGACAGUGCGCUGCACAACAAGCUGUGCAACUGGUGGUUCUUAUUUCUGCGCACAACGAGACUUUUUUCUUUUUUUCUAACCUAGGCUCUGGUGCCAAGAAGAGAAUGCUUUGAAUAAUGAUAUAUUCUUCUCAAUAAGAGGAACUUAUAGGUGUACAACCCUAACAUAAAAGGAAAGAAAACUAAUUACAAGUGAUUACAUGGGAUUACAUAUCAAUUAGGAUCCUACCUAAAAUACAAAAGUCAACAUAUUCUCUCUCUACAUCUCUCUCUCUCUCUCUCUCUCUCUCUCUCUCUCUCUCUCUCUCUCUCUCUAGGGUUCCGUGAUCUGUAUAUGCGUCUCGAUGGCUAUGGAAAUUGUGGUGGAUGCGGCGUCGUUUGACGCCGAGCUGUUGCAGCUCAAUGAUUUGUCUCCUUUGGCCCUCAAAUCGAAUCCGAGCUACGUCGAGUCGCUGUUCGAGCAGUGGCUUUCGCUUCCCGAUACUAAUCGCCUGGUACUUGAAAACCCAAUUUUUUUGUCUUCAAAAUUUGAAAUUUUUGGUGUUUUCGCAUUGUUUUGGUUGUGCAUCUUGUUGGGUUUCGAAGGAUUUAUGGGUGCAGUUUUUGGUUUUUGAAUUUUGGUGAGCUUGGUUUUUUGCUGUUGAAUUAAAAAUUUCUGUGUUUUUUCAUGUGUGUAUGUUUUGAGAUACACAUAAUUUGCAUGGAUUUGUAUAUGUGUUUGUUCUAGCCUGUGAAACCAGCAUGAGAGCUAAGAAAUAAUGAUGCUGAGUUGAUUUUAGUAUAUAUUGAUUUUCGUGCCCAUGGUAUUGAAUUUGUUCGGAAACGAUGACUUUGCGAUUAAUGAAGCAUUAAAGGGCACAUUUCAGUAUGGAAAAAGGGAUGAAAAUUGUAAAUUGUUAGCAAUGUUCGAAAUUACCUAAUGCCUUAAAGUAGUUACAAAUUUGUAAUUAGUUGUUGGAAAUGCUAAAGUUUAUAUUUUUUUUAAUUAGGAUACUGGAUACCUAUGAUUUACAUACUACAUAAUCUUUCAUCUUUUCUGAUGCAUGACAGUUUUUUCAUUUUCCCGACUCUAUGGUUGCAGGUGACACAAACUGCUAACUGAAGCAAAGGCAGGUAGGCCUCUGAAUGUUCAGGGAAAUUCUUCUAGUCCACAUGCCACUGCAGGCAGUACUUUGCCUUCUAUGUUUCCAACCAAAGUGGGACAAAGGGAAGGCCCCACAGUCCCGGAAAGAGACUCCACCUCUUCCAUCCUCUCGGGUGCGUUCAUCAGCCAGAUCUGAUGACAGGGCAGCUUUCAAGGAUGAUGCAUUGAAUGAGUUACGAGCAAAACGUUUGAAGCUGCAUGACCCUGAGGCUCACCGCAAGUUGAGAUAUGCUUCUCGUAGUGAAGAUGAUGGAUCAUCAGGGGAUGAUGCAAUGAUUGACAGUGAUGAUGAAAGGUCACAGGGACUAACUUUUGAUGUUAUAAAGGAGAUUACCAUUCGAAGGUCGAAACUUGCAAGUGGUUUAUGGAGCCCUUCUUGGAAGAGUUAAUUGUGGUUUGCGUUGUAAGGGUUGGAAUUGGGAGGUCAAAGUCUGGGACUAUCAAUGGUGGGAGCAGUACGGGCAGGCAUAGCAGCAACUGCAGCAGCUUUGGAAGCUGCGGCUGGUGUAGGGAAGUUGAUUGAUACGAGUGCCCCUGUUGAUUUUGGAAGAGAGUCAAAUCUAAAGCAUAAUUUUGAGCUGCCAAUAUCAUUGGCUGCUCUUCAGAAGUUUGGAAAGCCACAGGGUUCUUGGCAAGAAAGCAGCGAAUAGAAGCAAUAGUUGAGUGCCAAGUCCCAGAGAAUAAUGGGAGGAGGCAUGCGCUGAUGCUUACAGUUGGCGACUACAUGAGAAGAAGAGGGAUUCUCUGAACAUAUUAAAAACCACCACAGAAACAAGAAAGUUCAAAAAGAGAGAACAUAUUAAAAACAGAUCAAGGCAUGCAAAAAAAUACAGACUCUAUCUGCAAACUAGCUGAUUAAGCCAGAAAGUUUCCUAGCUUACAACUAUGUUUGGUUGACACAGUUUUGUUGGUAUGAACUCCAAUGGGAAUCCAUGCCAGCACAACCAUCUUAAUUUUUUGGAAAGACAUUGGUAUCACCCAGUGAGUCGUACGUAGUUUAGUUGGAGCAAUCUCAGUCUCUUCAUAUUUUUAAACGCCUUGGUACUGAAACUAGUGUUUUCAAGACUCGGCAAAUUCAAAGCCAGACCUUCAAUUUUUUCAGUUCCCUGCUAUCCGAAAAAAACAGACUCCAAAUAAGAGAAGGCUUUGCAUGAAAAAAAGUUAGAUUACUAACUUACAUAUGCUUACACGUUUAACAUAAAGUUGAUUGGGAAAGUACUUACAAAUUUGUCUAUCAAUACAUCAUUUACAUCUUCAGGACGCCACAAUCUACUCCGUUCUCUAGGGAAAUCGGGAUUUUCUGCAUGCACGAUAUCUCUGCCCAUAUACCGAAGCAAAUCAUGCAUCAUAAUCUUGUUUUCUCUAUUAAUAGUUACAAGGCACCGGUCAAGGAGGACCUUGAUUCCUGUUGUUGCAUAAAAGCCACAACCAUCCAAGAUUUGUAUGACAUCGUUCUUGUCCAUUCCGAUAAAAAAACAAGCUAUAUCGAGGAAUAUUCGCCUCUUGUAAUUAUCAUUUAGCUCGUUGUAGCUUAUUUUCAGUUGUGCCUGAAUUUCUCCACGAGGAAUUAUUUUCAAUUCAUCCAAUAUACUUCUCCAUUCAUCUACGCUUCGUUUGAAAAGAGUAGAUCCUAAAACUUCAAGAGCCAGCGACAAUCCUCCACAGUAAUUAACAACUUCUCUUUCGAGUGCAAGAUAUUGACUAGGACAACUACUACUUCUGAAAGCAUGCCAACUUAGGAGCUCAAGAGCUUCUUCUCGGUCCAUUACUUUCGCCCGAUAUAUCUUUUGAAUUGCAAAUUCUUUUAGCACACUUUCAUUUUUAGUUGUGAUGAUGAUUCUGCUCCCCGGGCCAAAAAGUGGCAAUUUCCAACUAAUUCACGUAAUUGCUUCACAUCGUCUACAUCAUCAACUAUGACAAGUACCUUUAAGCGUCGAAAUCUUUCCCUUACCAAGGCGGUCCCUGCAGCAACACUGCUUACCUUUGUCUUGGUUUGCAAGAUAUCAAAAAGAAGUUGUUUUUGCAAUUUUUCUAGCUUCUUUUCCCUCACUUUUUCAAGGAAACUUUUACCUUCAAAUCUUUCAUAAAAUUCGUUAUAAAUGGCUUUAGCAAUCGUUGUUUUACCUAUUCCACCCAUGCCCGAAAUUCCAAUCACACGAACAUCAUCUGAAUCUCCGAUGCCUAAAUAAUUACUAAUAUCUAGCACUCGAGUAUCUAUUCCGACUUGAUAGGGCGCUACGUCGAAGUAUUUGUUGUUCAACUUAGUAGUGACGUCAUUGGUAAUCAUCCUGAUAAACUUUGCUUCAUGCCUGGCAUUAGUCAAGUUGAGAAGCAAAACGAAGAUUGUUAUACAACGAAAUUGAACUAAUUAAUACACAAAAUUAUUUAUCAUGACUAGAGAUUUUAAUUAAGACAAUUUUUUUGAGGUGGUGUGUUUAAACUUAGCAAACAUCAAUUAAAAUUAAAAUAAGAAACACAAACAAAAAACCCAGCAUCCCUUCCGUCCGCAGCCAGUCGCCGGCAGCUUCCCAACUGUGAUUAGUGUAGCCUUAACAGUUUAAGCUUUAUUGUAUGAUUUUAUUACAGAGGUCUAAGAAAUCGCAUGAUUCCAAAUUAAUAAGCAAAGGUACAUUAAAGCCUUAAUUCAUAAGAAAAUAAAUUAGUAAGUACCCGUCGAAAGUGUUUCUGAGAUCCCAGCCAGGCAAAUUCGAAGCUUCAGUAAGAGCAGCUCUCCACCUCUCUACCUUUUUUCAUCUGUAUGUUUCAGAAACGAUUGUGCAAAACUACUAGUCUGUUUCCUGACAUGCGAAGGAUCAACGUCAUAGAAUAUCGGCAAAACUAAUUGCCCUAGCAUUCUUCUACACUCCAUGAUCUUUACCAGCUCCUCGAGACACCAGCUGGAGUCCGAGUACCGUCUUGAGAAGACGAUGAUAGAGAUCCUAGAACCCUGGAUUGCCUGCACAAGUUCGGUAGUUAUAUCUUCUCCUCUUCUUAGUUCGUCGUCAAUAAAGGCGUUGAUUCCGGCCUUUGUCAAUGCUUCGUGGAGGUGGCCCGUGAAGUUUUUACGUGUGUCUUCACCUCUGAAGCUUAUGAACACUUCGUAGAGCGAACCUUUUGAGAAGGAGGACAAGGACGGGGAGGCGGAGGAGGACGAUGAGGAUGAGAUUGAGGGUGAGGAGGUGGAGGAGGACGAUAAGGAUGAGGGCGAGGACGAGGUUUUAUCGGGGACGGAGAUAUUCAUUUGGCGAAAGACGAGGCCGAGGGAGCAGAGGAGGAAGAUGAGGACAUCAAAAACAAGACCGGAAUUGCGAUGUGCAUAGUGGUAGGACAGUAACACCAGCACCAUAAUUAACAGCUUCCCUAAGCUCAACCAGUUAUCCAUUGCCUUCAAUUUCUUUAGGCAAAUUGAAGGUUUUUUGGCGAUAUUGAUUUUCAUUUUUUCUACCGGAACUACUUUCUUCUUCUUAUAAUUAAUCAACCCGCCUAGGCGGCGCAGUUGACUGUAGACUUGAGUAUUGGUAAAUUGACUUAUGGUCCUACACCCUAAAUUCUACGAGGUGCUCUUUUUCUUCCACUAUAAAGCCAAAUUAGACACGGUAAAUUGACUUGUGGUCCUACACCCUAAAUUCCAGGAGGCACCCUUUUUUUCCACCUUAUCGCCAAAUUCUACGCAGUGUUUUCUGGUUCACACAAUGAUGAGAUACUUUUCAGUUUAUAGGAACACAGUCCAGUACACUGUACACCACUUAUAAAACAACUUCAAGAGGGCUAGUUUGAAAAUAUCCUACCGCGAAAUUUGAUUUGGUUUGGACCAAAUUUUGAUUUAGAUGAAAACUAGUAACAGUGCCUGCGCGUUGCUGCGGAUGUUUAAAAUGUUUUGAUAAUAUAUAAAUAUAGAAAACAUAAUUUAUUAAAGCUAGAUUUCUAUACCUAAGAUAAAGGUUGACAGUUUUCAUAAUUAUCAAAAGUUGGCAGUGUCCAAUUGCUCACUGUUCAAAAGAUAGAGAUGCUAUAAAAGCUUAUUUCAUCUACAUAAGUUCAUAGUAUCAUGUACUCAAAAUAAUCAUAGUAUCAAAAGAUUGGCAGUUUUCAACUGCUCAUCGUUCAAAUACGAAAAUAUACAUAUGUCCAUAUCAAAAGGUUGGCUCCGCACAUCUGCUGUGUUUAUGAUUUUUCCUGUUCAAUCUCUGGUCUUGCUUGUUUGGGAAUGGCCACCCUUUUUCUUGGCCACCAUGCUGUUGAAUUGGUGCCUAUUCUUUUUUGCUUUGCCCAUUAUUUUUCUCUUGAUAUAUAUUACGAAUUGGAAUCAGUAAGAAUUCCAUAUAAAAAACUAAAUUUGUCAAUCUAUUUAACUUAGUGCGAACUUCGUCAAACAACCAAGUAUAAUCCAGCAAGGUUAUUUUCUCUUUUUUUUUUUUUGAUCAAAAUGAAUUCUACUGUUCCCAUCUAUUUGCACAUCCCUUUAAAUUAUCGAAAACACAAAAGAAAUAUAUCUUGAUCCAUACCAAUUAAUGAUUUCCCAUUUACUCAAGUCAAACGUCAAAGCCAAUGAAUUGAUGAAGGAGCUAAAAAAGAGGGACAAAAAAAAAUCUCUAUUAUUCAAUUAUAUGGAGAUUUACCUGAUUGUACAAAAGGUUUGAAAAUUACCGUAAAAUUUGAAAAGAGAGAUGAGAUGGAGUGGAAAUCACAUACCAGCAUCAGGCUUAAAUUUGUAGUGCUCAUCUGAGAGAGCAGUGAUAGUGUUGAUGAGAGUGUAGGGAGAGAAACAAAAUGCAAAUCGUACGAGUUUGAGAGAAACUGCUUGAGGGACACUGCAGAUUGAUCGUUGAGAUUUGAGAAACCGAGGAAGCUGCAAUUUGAGACGAACUACUUUGCAUCAAACGUGGGGGAGUUUCUCUCCUCCACGUUUGAAUAGAAGAGGUAGUUUCAGAGUUGUCUGCAAUUAGUCCUAUCAGGAGCUUCUGCACUGGUUGAUGUCUCGGUCUUUUCCUUAGUCGCAUGUGCAUUGUAGACUUGGGUAGAUGAAAAGUAGAAAGGAAAUAAAAAUAUAAAGUCAAAGUUACCACUUAACUAUCUAUGUUGAUUCAUGUCCCACGCAUAAUAAGAAUAGUGAAUCAUUUUUCAUCUCGUGCACUGGUUUGUCAUUGUCAUUCGAAUUCACAAAUCCAUUUACUCCGAAUUUCUUAGUUAUCACCAGGGAAAGAAUGUAAUAAGCAAAAAUCUAUUUCUAGGUUGUCCCACUAAACUACCUGUUAAACCAUGGUAAAUCAAAACGGGAAAAAAAUUAUAAUACCUUUGUCAAACCUCUUGGGAUUCAAGUCCACCGACUCCACCCCAAUACUCAGUGGCGCCCCAGAAAUCUUGCACGUUCAGUAGCCAAGAUCAUGCAUGUAUCAGUAUGAAUAUGGAAGAGAAAAUAAAUGCAAUUUAUUAGAAUAAAGAAUAUGGGAUCAACAAAGUUUGUCCAAACUUACAGUGAGGCUAAUAAACAACAACUAAAGAUAAUUUUUCGUUUUGCUACAUGAGAGGGGCAUCCAAAAAUCCAAACCUGUCGAUACGGCACAACUGAGGAUGCAAACUUUAUCCAACUAAGCAAGGGGCUUGAUCUUGGAAAGACGGCCAGAAUGAACAACAAUGUAUUCACUUUAGUAAAAGUGCCAAGACAGUGAUUGGUGAACGUUAUUUCCCAGCUGGGUUAGUUUGGCUAUUCCUUUCUAUUGAAAAGGAGUCAGUUGUGCAUGAGUCACCACAUUUUGCUUCAUGGCGAAAAAUUUGAGGGAUCAAUAGUGUAUGGCCCUGAAUCCCAAAAGGAAAAAAUAACUCAACUAAGUAUAUAUAAUAUUAAACAUAUAAAGGGUAAGAUCAACCACAUCCCAUAGGAGAACAAUUAAACGCCACUCUCUCAGUUUCGAGUACAACUGCACUUUGUGAUUAAAAUUCACACAUGUUUCACAUAUGCUAAGAAGUAAUGUUCCUGUAGGUUUUUCAUCAUGAACGACAUUUGCAAUCUACUUUUCGAUUUCAAACCUUAAUUAUUCAUUGCCCAUUAAGAAAUGACUAUAUUGCCCGGAAACUCUACUCAUAGUUUAUAAAUCUGCAAUUUUCAAAGCUUAACCUUAAACAUUUAUCAUGCUGAAAAAAAUACUUAAGCAUCUUAAUUGGAUUCCCUACAAUUUGGUGGAGGUUGAAUGGAUUUUUCCUCCCAUUAUACCCCCGGAAAAUAUAAAUAAUCAUUGGAGACCGAGCAACACACACUCAUAAAUAAAAGAUUAGGAACCUUUGGUUCAGGAUAAACAUAAUGCAUACAGAAGAAUAAAAUUGCCAGAAAACAGAUCGAUGCACAGAGAGAUAGAGGCAUAAAGAGAGAACUUACAUCAGCUGUGCUCUCAAAUACAUAUGGUAAUCUGCAUACGAAGAAACAUAAUACUGAAACAGUUAUAAAUCAUCCUAUUCAAACAAAUCAAACGAAAUGCAUAAAGAUUACCUUAGUUUUUGAUUCUAUGAUUUUGUAUUUGACUCCACCUCCACGUUGUUCUUUGGUUGUCUCUUUUACUGAAUUAAGUAAUCGACUGAAUUACUUAAUUCAACUGAAUUUAAUCAGAGAGAUGAAAGCUUCUGUAUAAAAAAAUAUUUUAUGCUCUACACGCGUAGCAAAUCAUCAGUAACCUCCAAGAACCUAAUUGUACGAUAAACACUCUAGCAUUAACUACCCAAGAAUUAUAAUCAUGCUUAUUGCCAAAAAUGAUAAACAUGUUUACCUUGACUUCAUUUUUAAUGGCAUAUGUAAUAUACUUUCCAUCUGCAUUAAAAUAACCUUCUUCCCUCUGCUCGUUAAUCAAGUUGAAAGGUUCUGUUUGAAUCCCAUCCACAACAAAGUCCUUGUAAUCCUGCCAAAAGAUACCACCAAUCACUGGCUAUCGCUUCCGUUGAUCCAAUUAGCAGAAGUAUCCAACAAUUUCCUCGACUGAAAAAAAUCUUGCCAAUUUAGAAAAGAACUAUUCCAAAUUACGGAUGUACUCGAUUAAUUUAACCAAGAAUAUGCACGGCACCACCACUAUUAAGAAACAUCAUCAUACAAAGACAAAAGUUUUUACCAUCAGUUUUUAAAUUGCAACCAAAACAUGCAUAGAAAGAAUAAAAAUGACAACAAAGAUGGCAAAACAAUUAACCACACAUGUUGUUUAUCCAAAAAUGCUGAGAGCUUAUGCUUCUGUGACACAACAAGCUUCCUGCGUCACAUACACUAGAUCAAGUAGGCGUCAUGACAUAAAUUGAAAAGCAGACAAGAUCAAGAAGAUCCAAAAUUAUUGACAUAUAAUUAUAGUAAAUAAUUGCACAUGAAAAACUCUAGAGGAAGAUAGAUGAAUCUCCAUAUCAAGAAACCAAAGAACAUGACACUACUAAGGACUGUUGCUUCACAUGCAUAUCUGCUACUAUUUUAAACAAUUAUGUUAUAACAAGUAUAACUCCGCCGUGUAAGUUUAUCUUACAUUGCCGGUCCCAAGCCCGGAUAAAGGAGGAGGGGGAGGGCGUCAGGUAGUCGACAGCCGGCACUCCAUGAUUACGUCGAAUCCUUAUGAAAAUGAAUCCAGAACGAAAUCGCGCUAAAGCUAGGGCGUCACCCGUAAGUGGCACGCUGUGUGGCCCGAGCACAGUGAUAAGUGAGCAAGGGUCACUGUAUCUCCAUCGGCACCCGGAUGCAGUGUUAAAUGAGCAAGGGGGCUAUAGAAACUUCUUUUCGAACGACUCCACUCAAAGUUGUUUGGGAGCAUAUGCUCCUAUCAACUUUACACGGGAGACACAAAAGAAGUACUUUGAUCCUAUUAGACGGGGAAGGGUGAAGAAGCUAGGACAGAAGGGUAGAGUUCAAGAGAGCAAAAUGCGUUUAGGAACGUGGAAUAUAGGAACCUUGACGGGAAAAUCUAUGGAAGUAGUAGAAGUUAUGGUGAGGAGAAGGAUAAAUAUUAUGUGCCUACAAGAAACUAAGUGGGUUGGUCGUAAGGCAAAGGAUCUAGAAAACUCAGGGUUUAAACUAUGGUAUUCGGGCACAAAUAGAACGAGAAACGGUGUUGGCAUCAUCGUGGACAAGACCUUGACACAAGAUGUUGUAGAUGUCAAGAGGGUAGGAGAUAGAAUCAUGGCAAUCAAGAUUGUAAAUAGGACAAGAACUUAUCAAUGUGAUUAGUGCGUACGCACCUCAAGUAGGGUUGGAUACGAGUUCGAAGGAGAAAUUUUGGGAAGACCUUGGAGACUUGGUGCAAGGAAUUGCUCAGACGGAGAAGUUAUUUAUAGGAGGAGAUUUAAAUGGACACGUGGGCAGGGAGACAGGCAACUAUGGAGGUUUUCAUGGUGGCCAUGGUUUUGGGGAGAGAAACGAGGAUGGGGAAGCUAUCUUGGAUUUUGCAAUGGCAUAUGAUCUCUUCUUAGCCAACACCUUCUUUAAGAAGAGAGAAGAACAUGUGAUCACCUACAAGAGUGGGUCGUCAAAAACACAAAUAGAUUUUCUUCUAAUGAGGAAAGGGGAUCGUAUAACUUGUAAGGAUUGCAAAGUUAUACCAGGAGAGAGCGUGGCUAAUCAACAUCGCUUGUUGGUGAUGGAUGUACAUAUCAAAAGAGUGAGAAAAAAGAACAAGACUUGGAAGUGCCCAAGGACUAGAUGGUGGAAUCUAAAAGAAGAAAAACAAGCCAUUUUCAAAGAGAAAGUAAUCACCCAGUAUGUGUGGGAUAGAGAGGGGGAAGCUAACCAAAUGUGGGAUUCCAUGGCUAGUUGUAUCCGAAAAGUAGCAAAAGAGGUAUUAGGAGAGUCCAAGGGUUUUGCCCCACACCAAAAGGAAUCUUGGUGGUAGAAUGAGGAGGUACAAACAAAGGUGAAGGCUAAGAAGGAAUGUUGUAAAGCCUUCUACAAGGAUAGGACCGAUGAAAAUGGUGAAAGGUAUAGAAAAGCGAAGCAUGAGGCGAAGAAAGCUGUGAGAGAAGCUAAGUUAGUGGCUUAUGACGAUAUGUAUAAGCGACUAGAUACCAAAGAAGGAGAGUUGGAUAUCUAUAAACUAGCUAGAGUAAGGGAAAAGAAGACAAGGGACCUAAACCAAGUGAGGUGCAUCAAGGAUGAGGAUGGAAAUGUUCUUGCUACAGAGAACGCGGUUAAAGACAGAUGGAAAGGUUAUUUUCAUAAUCUUUUCAAUGAAGGACAUGAAAGGAGUGCUUCUUUAGGGGAGUUGAGUAACUCAGAAGAGUGUAGAAACUACUCUUUUUAUCGUAGAAUCCGGAAGGAAGAAGUGGUUGUUGCUUUGAAGAAGAUGAAGCAUAGAAAAGCAGUAGGCCCAGACGAUAUACCAAUCGAAGUGUGGAAAGUUUUGGGAGAGACAGGUAUAACAUGGCUCACUGACCUUUUCAAUAGGAUUUUGAAAACGAAGAAGAUGCCAAAUGAGUGGCGAACGAGCACUUUGGUGCCUAUCUACAAGAAUAAGGGUGAUGUACAAAAUUGCAUGAACUAUAGGGGUAUUAAGCUAAUGAGUCAUACAAUGAAGCUCUGGGAGAGAGUCAUUGAGCAUAGAUUGAGGCAAGAGACACGGGUUUCGGACAACCAAUUCGGGUUCAUGCCAGGGCGCUCAACCAUGGAGGCAAUCUAUCUCUUACGAAGAUUGAUGGAAAGAUAUAGAGAUGGGAAAAAUGAUUUACACAUGGUCUUUAUAGAUUUGGAAAAUGCGUAUGAUAGGGUCCCAAGAGACAUUCUUUGGAGGAUUUUAGAGAAGAAAGGAGUACGAGUAGCAUAUAUCCAAGCUAUACAGGAUAUGUAUGAAGGAGCAAAAACUGCCGUAAGAACUCAUGAAGGACAAACCGAAAGCUUUCCCAUAACUGUAGGAUUACAUCAAGGCUCAUCAUUAAGUCCUUACCUUUUUGCGUUGGUAAUGGAUGAGUUAACAGGACAUAUUCAAGAUGAUAUUCCUUGGUGUAUGCUUUUCGCAGACGAUAUAGUGUUGAUAGAUGAAACUCAGGAAGGGGUAAAUGCAAAGCUUAACCUUUGGAGAGAAGUGUUGGAAUCUAAAGGUCUUCGCCUAAACCGAUCAAAGACAAAAUAUAUGGAGUGCAAGUUCAGUGCAAAUGGAGGCCAAAACGAGUUAGGGGUGAGGAUCGGAGAUCAAGAAAUACCAAAGAGCGACCGUUUUUGUUACCUAGGAUCUAUCUUGCAAAAGAACGGAGAAUUAGACGGAGAUCUCAACCAUAGAAUACAAGCUGGAUGGAUGAAGUGGAAGAGUGCAUCCGGCGUGUUGUGUGACCGCCGUAUGCCACUGAAGCUCAAGGGAAAAUUUUAUAGGACGGCAAUAAGGCCGGCGAUGCUGUAUGGCACAGAAUGUUGGGCGGUGAAGCAUCAACACGUACACAAAAUGGGUGUAGCGGAGAUGAGGAUGCUUCAUUGGAUGUGUGGGCACACAAGAAAGGAUAAGAUUAGGAAUGAGAAUAUCCGGGGUAAAGUAGGAGUAGCCGAAAUUGAAGGAAAGAUGAGAGAAAAUCGGUUACGGUGGUUUGGACAUGUGCAAAGAAGGCCUACUGACGCUCCAAUUAGAAGAUGCGACUAUGGGACAGAGGUUCAGGGCCGAAGGGGUAGAGGAAGACCUAGGAAAACUUUGGAAGACCCUAAGAAAAGACUUAGAGUACUUGGAUCUAAUGGAGGACAUGACACAGGACAUAACACAAUGGCGUUCUAAGAUUCAUAUAGCCGAUCCCACUCAGUGACUUGGAUUUUCCAAGUCUCCAACCGAGAAGUUUUCCUCACUCGGGAAAUUAAGGGAACACUACCUCAACCUACAUGCUCCAUUCACAAAGCUUCAACAUACAAGCUUCAACAAAAGAAAAUUCAAAGAACUUAGCGAAGAAGGCUUUGGUGUAUUUAACACAAUACGUUGAAAUGAAGGAAAACUUAUUUAUUGAUAUCCCCGAUAAGUUACAAAUAUGUACAUAUACUUGAGUCAAAAUAAACAAACAAGAGGGAGCCUUCACAAAGGUUGCUUAGGAGAAGUCUCAGCAGUCGGCAGAGCCCCAGAAAAAGAAGGCACCGGAGGUGGAUCAUUCGGAGCCUCAGUACUGGACAGAACCCUAGAAGGAUGAGGCAUCAGAGGUUGAUCAUUUGGAGUUUUAUUACGCGGUACAGCCCCAGAAGACGAAGGCAAUAAAUGCCUUUGGAACAAACCCACAAAUCUCUGAUGAUCAAGUAAAACCUGACCAUCAGAUUCCUUCAUUUGGUCAAGCUUCCUCUUCAUGUUUGUAGCAUAGUCAUGUGCGAGCCGGUGCAACUGUUUAUUCUCAUGCUUGAGCCCUCUAAUCUCCUGUUUGAGACUCAUCACUUCAGCCGCCAAUGAUUCAACCUGGCGGGUUCAAGCAAAUAGGCGUUGGGCCAUAUUAGAUACAGAACCUGCACACUGAACACUGAGAGCCAGAGAAUCCUUAACAGCCAACUCAUCAGACCGUUUGGAAAGUAGUCUGUUAUCUUUGGGAGUGAGAAGGUUCCUGGCCACUACCGCAGCGGACAUAUCAUUCUUCAUCACGGAAUCCCUAACGGUAAGAGGACCAGUAGGGGAGACGAAGGAUGGGCGCCAUAUAUUGUCUGGUGAAGGCGGGGCUGCCUCUUAAAAAAGGUUCAAGUCAAAACGACGGUCGGAGGGGCCAGACAUUUUCAAAGGUGUUGAAGAGAGAAGAGUUCGGACAAAUCAAGAUCUUAGAAGUGCAAGAAUGGAGCUUCUACUGGUGGAUAUUCAAGUGUGCUUUGGAACUUAAUGUCAGCCCCUAUAAAAAUUUGCACUCGACGAAGCUUCAGAAAUCGAAGAGGCGCCUGCUCAGAAAUCGAAGAGGUGUUUGCUUUCUCAAAAGCUGGGCUGCUCAGAGACCACGAGGGUCGAUCUCAGAAAUCGAAGAGGCGUUUGCUUUCUCAAAAGCUGGGCUGCUCAAAGACCACGAAGACCGAUCUCAGAAAUCGAAGAGGCUUGCUUUCUCAAAAGUUGGGCUGCUCAGAGACCACGAGGGUCGAUCUCAGAAAUCGAAGAGGCACCUACUUUUCCAGCCUUGUCAGCACCUGUCACACGCACACUCAGCUUUGCGGAAAUUAUGGGCAUUCUGUCGAAGAUUUCUGGCGAAGUAGAAAGCACAUGAAUCGUACUGUUCAAUCACCCACUUCUCACACGCAACAGUAGCUCAUGGGUACCACAGAUAACUUUGCCAAAGUUCUCUGACAAAGUUGAGACACGUGAAGCUUGCAGCUCCCACUACAUCGCUCUGACCAAGAAGGGUAAAAGAAUAGCAAAGAAACAACACUAACAAAGUUUACACAUAAAUUUUGAAGGUCUAGCUACCAUAUUAUUACCCACAAGGGUAAAGGAACAGUACCACUGCUGGAUAAUUGGAAAGUCCCGAUGUGUCAACCUCUGUGCUUCGUGGCAAGGUAGACUAGCAAACUUGCCCAACCUUUACUCACAUUCGAGAAAACACUCCCAACAAGAUUGCUUGCUCCAAAAUCGAAGAGGCACCGCCCUCCGAAUCUCAAGAGCCAGACUCCCAACAUGAUUACUUUCUCAAAAAUCGAAGAAAGGGUAAAGGAACAGUACCACUGCUGGAUAAUUGGAAAGUCCUUGUGUGUCAACCUCUGUGCUUCGUGGCAAGGUAGACUAGCAAACAUGCCCAACCUUUACUCACAUUCGAGAAAAUACUCCCAACAAGAUUGCUUGCUCCAAAAUCGAAGAGGCACCGCCCUCCGAAUCUUGAGAGCUAGACUCCCAACAUGAUUACUUUCUCAAAAAUCGAAGAGAGGGUAAAGGAACAGUACCACUGCUGGAUAAUUGGAAAGUCCCUGUGUGUCAACCUCUGUGCUUCGUGGCAAGGUAGACUAGCAAACAUGCCCAACCUUUACUCACAUUCGAGAAAACACUCCCAACAAGAUUGCUUGCUCCAAAAUCGAAGAGGCACCGCCCUCCGAAUCUCGAGAGCCAAACUCCCAACAUGAUUACUUUCUCAAAAAUCGAAGAGACACCGCUUUUCGAAUCCCGAGAGCCAGACCCCCAGCAGGAUUGCUUUCUCAAAAAUCGAAGAGGCAUCGUUCUCCGAAUCUCGAGAGCCAGAUCCCCGACAGGAUUGCUUGUUCGAAAACCGAAGAGGCACCACUUUCCCAACUUCAAGAGCUGGAUCUCCUUGGAUAAAGCUUGUCUGUAAUCUUCACAUGCAACAUCAGCUUUCCAGAUACCACAGACCACUUUUUCAAAACGCUCUGACAUAGUUAAAACAUGUGAAGCUUGCAGCUCCCACUACCGUGCUAUGACCAAGCAGGGUAAAGGAAUAGCAUUAUUACUUGAUGUUAAGGAGACUCCUAUAUAUGUCGACCUUCAUCCCCAACGGACAGGCAGACCUGCAAAAAUGCUCAACCCUCCCUCUUAUCUGAGAGGGCACUCCCAACGAAGCCUUUCGAAAUAUUCAGCUUUCUUUCCCCCCCCCCGAUAAUACCUCUGUAAACAAGCUAUACUAGAGCAAGAAUAUCUCAUAUCAUCAGGGUUAAAAGCAAGAGUAUCCCAUAUCAUGCUUUUUCCCUGUCUUUUCCUUUGGCCUUGUUCUUACCUGCAAGACAAGGAGAAAGAGAGCAAUCAGUCAGCACUUGGAAUCAAGCUUCCAGCCAGGAACUGACUGCCUGGAACCCCUUACCUGAUUACUUACCUGGCAUUGCUUUCGAGUUCUCAUCUUCAACAUCUUAUGCUUCCAGGGAAGAUACCGCAUCUGCCUGAGGAACAGAUAGGGCAAGUGAGAAGGAUACAAGGAAGCAUGUGGAGACAAGCGUAACAGCACACGUGCCGAUACAUCCACUACUCUGUCGAAAGCAAAAGUAUCCCAUAUCAGCAGGGUCGAACGUACUCUAGAUUUGAUGGACUUGUUUUGACCCUCAAAUUCUUCAGUCGACCUUAUACUCUGGAGGAAACUAGAAAACCCUCCAGCCCAGUUCAAGAAUAAGCCUGUGGAAAGUUACUUCUUCAAAAGCAAAAGUAUCCCAUAUCAUCUCUUCUCAUUUUUCUUCUCUUUAUCCUUCAUACUGCCUGCAAGAUAGGGAGAAUGUGAACAAUCAGCAGGAGCUUUGAUUGCUUACCUUGUCUGUCACUUUCAGCAGAUCCCCUAGCUCGGCGACUUGGGGGACUCUUACUACAUGGUUUGUAUCGCGCUUGACCAAGCCUGAAACUACAAGUAAGCUUCAAGUGAAAUUGAUACAUUACCUUGUGCAUCUCCACCAGUUACAGAUAUCACCCCUGGAUGGAGGAAGAGUACUUCCAGAGAAGAUGCCACAUCUACCUAUGAGACAGAUAAGGCAAGUCAAGACGAUACCACACUCCGGUACUUAGAAGUUUCGUGGUUACGAGAUAAUUCUCCCACAAUAUUUCCUAAUGUCAUUUGUACUAAAUCAUUCACUUGUACUCACUAAAGGAGAGCUUGAACCUAUGUACUUGUGUAAACCCUUCACAAUUAAUGAGAACUCCUCUAUUCCGUGGACGUAGCCAAUCUGGGUGAACCACGUACAUCUUGUGUUUGCUUUCCUAUCUCUAUCCAUUUAUAUACUUAUCCACACUAAUGACCGGAGCAAUCUAGCGAAGAUCACAAAAAGUGACCGUUUUCGCUACCUAGGAUCUAUCUUGCAAGAGAACGGAGAAUUAUAUGGAGAUCUCAACCAUAGAAUACAAGUUGGAUGGAUGAAGUGUAAGAGUGCAUCCGGCGUGUUGUGUGACCGUCGUAGGCCACUGAAGCUUAAGGGAAAAUUUUAUAGGACGGAAAUAAGGUCAGCGAUGUUGUAUGGCACAGAAUGUUGGGCGGUGAAGCAUCAACAUGUACACAAAAUAGGUGUAGCGGAGAUGAGGAUGCUUCGUGAGAUGUAUGGGCACACGAGAAAGGAUAAGAUUGGGAAUGAUGAUAUCCGAGGUAAAGUAGGAGUAGCCAAAAUUGAAGGAAAUAUGAGAGAAAAUCGGUUCCGGUGGUUUGGACAUGUGCAAAGAAGGCCUACUGACGCUCCGGUUCGAAAAUGUGACUACGGGACAGAGGUUCAGGGCCGAAGGGGUAAAGGAAGACCUAGGAAAACUUUGGAAGAGACCCUAAGAAAAUACUUGAGUACUUGGAUCUAACGGAGGACAUGACACAAAACCGAGCGCAAUAGCGUUCUAGGAUUCAUAUAGCCGACCCCACUUAGUGGGAAAAGGCUUUGUUGUUGUUGUUGUUGUUGAUGUUAUAACAAGUAUAAGAGAGAGGAAAAAUCACUACUGAACCGAAAAUGAAAAAGGGGGAAAACCUGGAAUGCCAUGCAGUGCCGAAAUCACUACUUAGCAACAAAAGUGCCCUGCUAUGCUUCAUGACGUCACUUUCAAAACUAUUAUCCAAAGAUAAUGACACAUACAAAGACUUCUCAUCCCCAGAUACAUCUGAUUUGCUGUUAAGUGCCUUAUAUUGUCUACUUCCUGCCAUAAACGCAUGCUUAGCAGCCUCAUAUAACGGAAAAAGAACUUGUGUUGAAAUCCCCAACUUAUGAUCCCUAUUCCAAAAAACUGAGUUGCCAUCAACUGAGCGCAGCACAGUACUGUCAUCAGAUGAGGGUGAGGAAUGGCCUGCCUCUUUAUUCAGCUUGGAAAACUGGGACGGGUGAAGAAAUCCCACUUCAUCUCUGGGUUCAAUCAAGAGGAAAGAACAAUGUUUAAGACAAUGACAUUACUACAUAUUCCAAAAACACAACUGAGAAUCCUUCCAAAAUUAAAAAAAAAAAGAACACCUCUAAACAAAAUCAUAACGCACCCACAAUUACACACACACACAAUUCAAAAACUUUCAGCAUAAGAAUAAGGCAUACUUGGACCGUUAUCGAAAUCCCAGACUCAGUAACAGUAAUGAACUUACACUGAAUCAACAUUUUGAAUUUGAACUAACACUGAAUGGACAUUUUCCAAAAAAUAUGAAAUCCAAGUAAAAUCAAGCUGUUACUUUUACAUAUGCAUGGAUCAACUCAUGCGGGAUCAAAUAUCUGUACUUUUCGACACGGAAAUUACACUUUGUGAAGGUACACCAACCAAGCACGAAUAAAACCUAUAUAUACAAAACUCUAUGGGGCAUUUCAUCGAACACAAAGUCUGCGUCUUUACUGAAAACAGAGAAGUUAAACCUGCAAUCACUCAUUAUCUACUAACAUACAAGUACGAAUUACUUACAUUUGGGGAUCGGAUUCCAAGAUACAUUCGAAUUGAUUCAGAAGAUCGACCGUGUCUGCUUCGGAACAACGCAGCUCCUCUCCUUCCAUAUUUUCUGUUUGUUUCCCAAGAAAAUCCAAGGGAAAAGAAAUCUGAGGAAAAAUGACAGCUUUAUACGAUGUUGGAACAAAAUGGUAAAUUAAUUAAAAAAAAUAACUACGUGGAAGUUUUUUAUUCGUUGUUGCAAUAAGUUGCAGGAAAAAGUAAUGAUGCUGGCCGCAGAUGAACCAGUUUCGGGCCAAUGUCACACUAACACGUAUACACCUUCCUUCGACUUUUCUUUUCUUGUAUAAAAUUUUGGAGCUGCUAUGGCUAUUCUCUCUCUCUCUCUCUCUCUCUCUCUCUCUCUCUCUCUGAGUAGGCCUAGCAAACGGGUCGUGUCUGUCGUGUUCGUGUUGUUUUUGUGUAACACCUAUUAUCUUAACGGAUCGUAUCGUGUCACACCUGUUAUCUUAACAGGUCGGGUCACUUUACCCAACGGGUAAAAUGACCCAACCAGUUAUGACCUGUUAAGAAAAAUAUAUUUUUUUCUUAAAUUUGCACAUACCACACAUUGUCACUUAAAUAUUACUUCAAAACAUUAAAACACAUUUAUCGUUUUAGUACUACAUCUACACUUGAAAAUAAGAUCAUAAUAAAAAAAAGGGUAAAUUACAUAGUAGCCCCUCAGGUUUGAGGUCUAUUGCAAUCUUAUACAACAUCUUUAAAACAUUUCACUUUCAUACCUCAAGUACUAUUUUAUUUCAAUUUUAUACAACCGUUAGAUUUUCCAUCCAUUGAUCUGUUAAAUGCUGACGUGCCUGCCACAUAUAUGACACGUGGCUGCCAAAUGUCUGCCACGUGGCAAAUAAAAAUAAUUUUUUAAUUUAAAAAAAAAAACAUAUCUGCCACUUUUUUUUUCUCUUUUUCUUCUUCUUCUCUUUCUCUUUCUUCUUCUUCUGGGUUGGGACCCCUUUUUUUUUUUUUUUCCUUCUUCUUCUUCUUCCUCCUCAUCCUCUUUCUUCUUCUGUUCUUCUUCUUCCUCCUUCUUCUUAUGGGUUCCGUCCCUUUUUUUUUUUUUCCUCUUUCUUCUUCUUCUUCUCUUUCUCUUUCUUUUUCUUCUGGGUUCGGACCCUUUUUUUUUUCUUUUUUUUUUCUUCUUCUUCUUCUUCUCCCUCCUCCUCCUCUUUCUUCUUCCCUUCUUCUUCUUCCUUCUUCUUCUUCUGGGUUCGGUCCCUUUCUUUUUUUUUUUUUUUUUCUUUUCUUCUUCUUCUUCUUCUUCCUCAUCCUCCUCCUCUUUCUUCUUCUCUUCUUCUUUUUCCUCCUUCUUUUUCUGGGUUCGGUCCCCUUUUUUUUUUUCUUCUUCUUCUUCUUCUUCUUCCUCCUCCUCCUCCUCCUCUUUCUUCUUCUUCCUUCUUCUUCUGGGUUCGGACCCCUUUCUUUUUUUUUCUUUUUUUUUCUUCUUCUUCUUUCUCCUCCCUCCUCUUUCUUCUUCUCUUCUUCUUCUUCCUCCUUCUUCUGGGUUCGGUCCCUUUCUUUUUCUUCUUCUUCUUCUUCCUCAUCCUCCUCCUCUUUCUUCUUCUCUUCUUCUUCUUCCUCCUUUUUCUGGGUUCGGUCCCUUUUUUUUUUUCUUCUUCUUCUUCCUCCUCCUCCUCCUCCUCUUUCUUCUUCUUCCUCCUUCUUCUGGGUUCGGACCCUUUUUUUUUUUUUUUUUUCUUCUUCUUCUUCCUCCUCCUCCUCCUCUUUCUUCUUCUUCCUCCUUCUUCUAGGUUCUGUCUUUUUUUUUUCUUCUUCUUCUUCCAAUUUCAGGUUUUUAAAAAAUAAAAAAAAAUUAUUUUAUUUGCCACGUGGCAGACAUUUGGCAGCCACGUGUCAUAUAUGUGGCAGCCACGUCAGCAUUACAGAUCCAUGGAUGGAAAAUCUAACGGUUGUAUGAAAUUGAAAUAAAAUAGUACUUGAGGUAUGAAAGUGAAAUGUUUUAAAGAUGUUGUAUAAGAUUGCAAUAGACCUCAAACCUGAGGGGCUACUAUGUAAUUUACCCUAAAAAAAACAAUCAAACACUACUAGUCUAUUACAAAAUAUUAAAUGUGCAAGGAUAUGCAAAAUGAAAGAGUUUUUGUUUUCAAGGUUGUGAAGCAUUUCAUUAAGUAUAACAUAAGAUUUUGUGGUAUCCACCAGUGAAAAUAUUUUAAAUUGAAUAUCGAGUUCAUUCAUUGUAUUCAUAUAGGGUCAAUGAGUGUAGCUGUAAAAAAAUCAUCAAAAUCGGAGUUAAAUUAACCGUUAAAUCAUGAUUUUGCGUUGACAAUCGUCGAAAAGUUUUGUCCUGUUACUUGAUCAUUGAAUGUUUGCUUUUUGCAAUUUUUGGCGUGUGCGAUCUCGAAGCAUAUACAAACAAGUUUGACGGUUGGAUCGUUGAAAUUAGUUUCAUAGAAUGCGUAUCUCAUCAAAACGAUAGAUUCACGAACACAUAGAGUUUUAUUUAUCCUUUCAUUAAGUAUAACAUAAGAUUUUGUGAUAUCCACUUGUGUAAAUAUUUUAAAUUGAAGAUCAAAUUCAUUCAUUGCAUUCAUAUAGGGUCAAGGAGUGUAGCUGUAAAAAAAUCAUCAAAAUCAGAGUUAGAUUAACCGUUAAAUCAUGAUUUUGCGUUGACAAUCGUCGAAAAGUUUUGUCCUGUUACUUGAUCUUUGAAUGUUUGCUUUUUGCAAUUUUUGGCGUAUGCGAUCUCGAAGCAUAUACAAACAAGUUUGACGGUUGGAUCAUUGAAAUUAGUUUCAUAGGAUGCGUAUCUCAUCAAAACGAUGGAUUCACUAAUACUUAAGAGUUUAUUUAUACUUUCAUUAAGCAUAACAUAAGUUUUUGUGGUAUCCACUUGUAUAAAUAUUUUAAAUUGAAGAUUGAAUUCACUCAUUGUAUUCAUAUAGGGUCAAUGAGUGUAACUGUAAAAAAUCAUCAAAAUCGGAGUUAAAAUAACCGUUAAUAGUAAUUUUUCGUUUAUAAUCGUCGAAAAGUUUUGUCUCGUUACUUGAUCUCUGAAUGUUUGUUUUUUGCGAUUUUUGGCGUAUGCGAUCUAGCAUAUACAAACAAUUUUGACAGUUGGAUCGUUGAAAUUAGUUUCGUAGGAUGCGUAUCCCAUCAAAAUGAUAUAUUCACUAACAUUUAAAAGUUUAUUUAUACUUUCAUUAAGCAUAACAUAAGUUUUUGUGGUAUCCACUUGUGUAAAUAUUUUAAAUUGAAAAUCAAAUUCAAUCAUUGUAUUCAUAUAGGGUCAAGGAGUGUAGCUGUAAAAAAUCAUCAAAAUCGGAGUUAAAAUAACCGUUAAAUCGUGAUUUUUUCGUUUAUAACCGUCGAAAAGUUUUGUCCCGUUACUUGAUCUCUGAAUGUUUGUUUUUUACGAUUUUUGGCGUAUGCGAUCUCGAAGCAUGUACAAACAAGUUUGACGGUUUGAUCAUUGAAAUUAGUUUUGUAGAAUAUGUAUCUCAUCAAAACAAUAUAUUCAAUAACACUUGAGAGUUUAUUUAUCCUUUUAUUAAGUAUAACAUAAGAUUUUGUGGUAUCUACUUGUAUAAAUAUUUUAAAUUGAAGAUCGAAUUCCUUCAUUGUAUUCAUAUAGGGACAAGGAGUGUAGCUAUAAAAAAUCAUCAAAAUCGGAGUUAAAAUAACCGUUAGAUUGUGAAUUUUUGUUUAUAACCGUCGAAAAGUUUUGUCCCGUUACUUGAUCUCUGAAUGUUUGUUUUUUGUGAUUUUUGGCGUAUACGAUCUCGAAGCAUAUACAAACAAUUUUGACGGUUGCAUCGUUGAAAUUAGUUUUGUAGGAUGCGUAUCCCAUCAAAAUGAUAGAUUCACUAGCACUUAGAGUUUAUUUAUAUUUUCAUUAAGCAUAACAUAAGUUUUUGUGGUAUCCACUAGUGUAAAUAUUUUAAAUUGAAGAUCAAAUUCAAUCAUUGUAUUAAUAUAGGGUCAAUGAGUGUAGCUGUAAAAAAUCAUCAAAAUCGGAGUUAAAAUAACCGUUAAAUCGUGAUUUUUUGUUUAUAACCUUCGAAAAGUUUUGUCCCGCUUCUUGAUUUCUAAAUGUUUGUUUUUUACGAUUUUUGGCGUAUGCGAUCUCUGAAUUAUAAUUAUUAUAGUUUUUAGAGGUAUAAAAUUGUUGAAUUAAUAUAUAUAAUUAUUAUAGUAUUUUUUAGGGUUAUAAAAUUAAUAUUUUGCUUAUCGUGUUAACCACGUGUAUACCCGAACCAACCCGUUAUCUUAACAGGUGCUUAUCGGGUUACCCGAUAACGACCCGAUUCGUUAUCGUGUCGACCCGAACACCUGUAAAUUUCGUGUCAUGUCGGACCUGGUUAUCGGGUCGUGUCAGGAAUUGCCAGGCCUUGGGGCGUGUCAGAAUCUGUCAACCAAACUGAUCCAAUCCACACGUAGAAUGAGAAACUAAUAUUUGGCAUAGGCUAAACCCUAUCUUCCAGAUGGCUGACUUUUCAAACAAAAUAAAAGCCACACGUCCACACUUGAAUCUGUCAACCAAUUUGAUCAAAUCCACACGUAGAAUGAGAGGCUGAUAUGUGGCAUAGGGUAAAGCCAAUCUUUCAGAUGGCUGACCUUUCAAACAAGAUCAAAGUCACACGUCCACAUGUCCACACUUGAAUCUGUUAACCAAACUGAUCCAAUUCACACGUAGAAUAAGAGAUUAAUAUGUGGCAUAGGCUAAAGCCUAUCUUCAAGAUGGCUGACUUUUCAAACAAAAUAAAAGCCACACUUCCACACUUGAAUCUGUCGACCAAACUGAUCAAAUCCACACGUAGAAUGAGAGGCUGAUAUGUGGCAUAGGCUAAAGCCUAUCUUCCAGAUGGCUGACUUUUCAAACAAGAUUAAAGUCAUACGUCCACACCUCCACACUUGAAUCUGUUAACCAAAUUGAUCAAAUCCACACAUAGAACGAGAGGCUAAUCUGUGGCAUAUGCUAAAUCCUAUCUUCCAGAUUGCUGACUUUUCAAACAAGAUCAAAGCCACAUGUCUACACUUGAAUCUGUCAACCAAACUGAUCCAAUCCACACGUAGAAUGAGAGGCUGAUCUGUGGCAUAGGCUAAAGCCUAUCUUCCAGAUGGCUGACUUUUCAAACAAGAUUAAAGUCAUACGUCCACACCUCCACACUUGAAUCUGUUAACCAAAUUGAUCAAAUCCACACAUAGAACGAGAGGCUAAUCUGUGGCAUAUGCUAAAUCCUAUCUUCCAGAUUGCUGACUUUUCAAACAAGAUCAAAGCCACAUGUCUACACUUGAAUCUGUCAACCAAACUGAUCCAAUCCACACGUAGAAUGAGAGACUUAUAUGUGGCAUAGACUAAACUCUAUCUUCCAGAUGACUGACUUUUCAAACAAAAUAAAAGUCAUAUAUCCACACUUGAAUCUGUCAACCAAAUUGAUCAAAUCCACACGUAGAAUGAGAGGCUGAUAUGUGGCAUAGGCUAAAGUCUAUCUUCCAGAUUGCUGACUUUUCAAACAAGAUAAAAGCCACACGUCCAUACGUCCACACUUGAAUCUGUCAACCAAACUGAUCCAAUCCACACGUAGAUUAAGAGACUAAUAUGUGGCAUAGGCUAAAGCCUAUCUUCCAUAUGGCUGACUUUUCAAACAAAAUAAAAGCCACACGUCCACACUUGAAUUUGUCGACCAAACUGAUCAAAUCCACACGUAGAAUGAGAGGCUGAUUCGUGGCAUAGGCUAAAGCCUAUCUUCUAGAUGACUGACUUUUCAAACAAGAUAAAAGCCACACGUCCACACUUGAAUCUGCCAACCAAACUGAUCCAAUCCACACGUCCACACGCCACAUGUCACAUCCCCGCCCCGGCUCGACUCCGCCGUAGCACGAUAUUGUCCGUUUUAGACCCCGACCACCCCCUCACGAUUUUGUUUAUGGGAACUUACGCGAGAACUUCCCAGUGGGUCACCCAUCUUGGGAUUGCUCUUGCACCAUUCUCGCUUAACUUCAGAGUUCCUACGGAACCCGAAACUAAUAAGCGAUUGGCUCUGAUACAAAAUUGUCAGAUCCGGCCCGAGCUCCACCACACCCCGAGCUCGACUCCAAUGUAGCACGAUAUUGUCUGCUUUGGGCCCCGACCACGCCCUCACAGUUUUGUUUCUGGGAACUCACGCGAGAACUUCCUAGUGAGUGACCCAUCAUAGGAUUGCUCUCGAGCCAUUCUCGCUUGACUUCGGAGUUCCUACGGAACCCGAAGCCAGUGAGCUCCCAAAAUGCCUCGUGCUAGGUAGAGAUGUGAAUAUACAUAUGAGGCUUACAUGAUCCACACCCCUGGACGAUGUGGGAUCUUACACCACGCAUCCCAAAUCAAUUUGAAUUGUACUGUUUGCUUGGAGAUAUAAUUAUGUCCUUUAUUUUAUCAAACCCAUACUUGCAUAAGGAGUCAAAAUCUCCUACUGAUGCAUUCCACGUGGCAAGAAUCAAAAGGCAUAUACCAUUUGUAUUCAUGUGAUAAUCAUCCCAUCCUACUACAUCAUCUGAUGUCGUGCCUUAAUGCACAUCCAUAUUCCAUCAUAUUUUGGGGCUAUAAUUAUUCGAGUAUAUAUAAUUAUUAUAAUUAUUAUAGUUAAUUUAAUAUAUAUAUAUAUAUAUAUUAUAGUUUUUAGGGUAUAAAAUUGUUAAAUUAAUAUAUAUUAUUUUUAUAUUAUUUUUUUUAGGAUUAUAAAAUUAUAAAAUUAAUAUUCUGUUUAUCGUGUUUCGUGUUACCCACGUAUAUACCGUAUAUACCUGAACCAACCCGUUAUCUUAACAUGUGCUUAUCGGGUUACCCGAUAACGAUCCGAUUUGUUAUCGUAUCGAUUCGAACAUGUGUUAAUUUCGUGUCGUGUCGUGUCUGGUUAUCUGUCGUGUCAGGAAUUGCAGGCCUACCUCUCUGAGCAUCAAUCGCCGAAGGAUUUUCUAUCAUUUUCCCUCACUUUCUCCCGUUUUCUCUCUCGCCAAACACUCCAAUUCCUUAAGGAUCUGAGGUUUCUUCCACUUCAAAUCUCACCUUUUUUUUCUUUCCAAUUGGGCAAAAAGGCAUUGAUUUGAAACGAAUAUUAUAAUAGAAAGGAAAGCGCUUUGGGGGGAUUAGAAUUUCUGAAUCUAGGGUUCCGUGAUCUGUAUAUGCUUCUUGAUGACUAUGGAAAUCGUGGUGGAUGCGGCGUCGUUUGACGCCGAGCUGUUGCAGCUCAAUGAGGUGUCCCCUUUGGCCCUCAAAUCGAAUCCGAGCUACGUCGAGUCGCUGUUCGAGCAGUGGCUUUCGCUUCCCAAUACUAAUCGCCUGGUACUUGAAAACCCAAAUUUUUUUGUCUUCAAAAUUUGAAAUUUUUGGUGUUUUCGCAUUGUUUUGGUUGUGCAUCUUGUUGGGUUUCGAAGGAUUUAUGGGUGCAGUUUUUGGUUUUUGAAUUUUGGUGAGCUUGGUUUUUUGCUGUUGAAUUAAAAAUUUCUGUGUUUUUUCAUGUGUGUAUGUUUUGAGAUACACAUAAUUUGCAUGGAUUUGUAUAUGUGUUUGUUCUAGCCUGUGAAACCAGCAUGAGAGCUAAGAAAUAAUGAUGCUGAGUUGAUUUUAGUAUAUAUUGAUUUUCGUGCCCAUGGUAUUGAAUUUGUUCGGAAACGAUGACUUUGCGAUUAAUGAAGCAUUAAAGGGCACAUUUCAGUAUGGAAAAAGGGAUGAAAAUUGUAAAUUGUUAGCAAUGUUCGAAAUUACCUAAUGCCUUAAAGUAGUUACAAAUUUGUAAUUAGUUGUUGGAAAUGCUAAAGUUUAUAUAUUUUUUUUAAUUAGGAUACUGGAUACCUAUGAUUUACAUACUACAUAAUCUUUCAUCUUUUCUGAUGCAUGACAGUUUUUUCAUUUUCCCGACUCUAUGGUUGCAGGUGACACAACUGCUAACUGAAGCAAAGGCAGGUAGGCCUCUGAAUGUUCAGGGAAAUUCUUCUAGUCCACAUGCCACUGCAGGCAGUACUUUGCCUUCUAUGUUUCCAACCAAAGUGGGACAAAGGGAAGGCCCCACAGUCCCGGAAAGAGACUCCACCUCUUCCAUCCUCUCGGGUGCGUUCAUCAGCCAGAUCUGAUGACAGGGCAGCUUUCAAGGAUGAUGCAUUGAAUGAGUUACGAGCAAAACGUUUGAAGCUGCAUGACCCUGAGGCUCACCGCAAGUUGAGAUAUGCUUCUCGUAGUGAAGAUGAUGGAUCAUCAGGGGAUGAUGCAAUGAUUGACAGUGAUGAUGAAAGGUCACAGGGACUAACUUUUGAUGUUAUAAAGGAGAUUACCAUUCGAAGGUCGAAACUUGCAAGUGGUUUAUGGAGCCCUUCUUGGAAGAGUUAAUUGUGGUUUGCGUUGUAAGGGUUGGAAUUGGGAGGUCAAAGUCUGGGACUAUCAAUGGUGGGAGCAGUACGGGCAGGCAUAGCAGCAACUGCAGCAGCUUUGGAAGCUGCGGCUGGUGUAGGGAAGUUGAUUGAUACGAGUGCCCCUGUUGAUUUUGGAAGAGAGUCAAAUCUAAAGCAUAAUUUUGAGCUGCCAAUAUCAUUGGCUGCUCUUCAGAAGUUUGGAAAGCCACAGGGUUCUUGGCAAGAAAGCAGCGAAUAGAAGCAAUAGUUGAGUGCCAAGUCCCAGAGAAUAAUGGGAGGAGGCAUGCGCUGAUGCUUACAGUUGGCGACUACAUGAGAAGAAGAGGGAUUCUCUGAACAUAUUAAAAACCACCACAGAAACAAGAAAGUUCAAAAAGAGAGAACAUAUUAAAAACAGAUCAAGGCAUGCAAAAAAAUACAGACUCUAUCUGCAAACUAGCUGAUUAAGCCAGAAAGUUUCCUAGCUUACAUAGUCGUCGUCGUCUUGGUCCUCCUCCUCAUCAUCACCCUCAUCAUCAUCAUCCGCAACUUCUUGGUCCUGAUCAUCGUCUUAUUCCUCAUCCUCCUCAUUAAAAUCCUUCUCAUCAUCCUCAUCGUGUUGUCAUCAUCCUCAUCAAAAUCAUCAUCUUCAUAAUCCUCAUCAAAAUCAUCACCUUUGGUAGAAAUUUCUUCUAAGGCCCGUUCGUAAGGGAUAUAAUGGUAAUCAAAUAAUGAACCUUUGAAAGUCAUAAGUUUGUCGCAUACUAAACGUACCCCUAUUUUCUUCACCGGACAAUGUGCAAUAACAUGGACCAAAUCGCUUUCUCCCAAAUUGAACUCAGUUUCCGACAACGAUAAAUUUGCCAGCCAAAUCAUCUCUUCAAUGAGAAAAAGAUCUCCUAGUUCGACACAAAAACUAGUACCCUCGUUGAUGUAAUCACGAGGAACAAAAGCCAGGCACACAGCCAACGCUUUUGCAUUACAUCCAAUUUCCUUGGGCACUUCAAAAGAGACUUGGGUACCCUCGUUGACAUGAUUGAACCAAGUGGGAAUUUGUCUUCCUACAAAACUCAUGGUUCCACCUCCUGUCCAUCCCUAUACCAUGUGGAACAACAUUUGUGUUAGUACUACAUACAUAACACACAUAUUUGCGAUGGGGGAGGAGAGAGGAGUGGUGUGGAAGAGAGAGAGUACCUGUAUCGUGCUAUCCUUAAGAAGGAAAUCCAUGACAUUGUUGUGUGUUAUCAUACAAAGAUGGAGUCCCGAGUUUAACGCGCUAUCCAAGCCUGGAAACUCAAUGAGUUUCGGGGAAAAGAGACUCACCAUUGUUGACAUGCCUGAAAAAUCUGGCAUUCUUUCUAAUGCAGAGCAGUCAUCCAUUUGCAGGAAACCCAAACUUUUUGGUAAAUCUGUAAUCUCGACAAGGUUUCUGCAACCAUUUAAGGAUAGUAUACGAAGCUUGGAGAGGCCACUGAGGCUUGGAAGGCUCCCAAAAUUAUUGUCAUCUAGACUUAACUCCACUAAACAAGGUAGACUACUCCCAAUAUCAUUAGGCACUUCCUCUAUAUUGCUGUCCUCCAAAAUUACACUUGUCAAAGAGCGUAAACCUAGUAAGGAAGGUAGCUGCAAAGAACACUUCAAUUUACUCAAAGAUAAGCGCUCGAGCUUCUCUAGUCGUACGAUGGAAGGUGGUAGUUUUUUUAUGGCCGUUCCAUCUGCAUAAAGAGUGACCAAUGAUGCCAUUUCUCCCAAGUGCUCAGCCAAACUUUGGAAUCUUGAACAACCAUCGAGAACAAGAGUUUUAACAGAUUUCAACUUGUAGAAACUCCUCGGAAGAGCCUUAAGCGUUUCACAGUCUUUCAAAUUCACCAACACAAGACUCUUAAGAUCUCCGAUGGACUUGUGAACUUUAGCCAACCUCUUACAGUCUUUGAGUAUCAAUUUCUCAAGAUUUGGGAAUUUUGAAAAGUCUGGCGAUUGUGUUAGAUCGUGGGAGUGGCUGAGAUUUAGAAUCUUCAACUUAUCAAGCAACUGUUAAGAAAAAUCAAAUUUAAAUAAAAAAUUUAAAUCCAAAAAGAAGAUACAAAGAGCAUAAAAAUAAUUCCUAAUUUGGUUCAGGUUACGCAUUGUACUUACCCCAGAAUACUCACAAAGAACUUGUCUGAGGUUGCUGUACUGCAUGUCGAUAACAACUAUGUUUGGUUGACACAGUUCUAUUGGUAUGAACUCCAAUGGGAAUCCAUGCCAGCACAGCCAUUUUAAUUUUUUGGAAAGACAUUGGUAUCCCCCAGAGAGCCGAACGUAGUUUAGUUGGAGCAAUCUCAGUCUCUUCAUAUUUCUAAACACCUCAGUACUGAAACUAGUCUCUUCAAGACUCGGCAAAUUCAAAGCUAGACCUUCAAUUUUUUCAGUUCCCUGCUAUCCGAAAAAACAGACUCCAAAUGAGAGAAGGCUUAUCAUGAAAAAAAGUUAGAUUACUAACUUACAUAUGCUUACACGUUUAACAUAAAGUUUGAUUGGGAAAGUACUUACAGAUUUGUCUAUCAAUACAUCAUUUACAUCUUCGGGAUGCCACAAUCUACUCCGUUCUCCAGGAAAAUCGGGAUUUUCUGCAUGCACGAUAUCUCUGCCCAUAUCUCGAAGCAAAUCAUGCAUCAUAAUCUUGUUUUCUCUAUUAAUAGUCACUAGGCACCGGUUAAGGAGGACCUCGAUUCCUGUUGUUGAAUAAAAGCCACAACCAUCCAAGAUUUGCACGACAUCGUUCUUGUCCAUUCCGAUAAAAAAACAAGCUAUAUCGAGGAAUAUCCGCCUCUUGUAAUUAUCAUUUAGCCCGUCGUAGCUUAUUUUCAGUUGUGCCUGAAUUUCUCCACGAGGAAUCAUUUUCAAUUCAUCCAAUAUACUUCUCCAUUCAUCUACGCUUCGUUUGAAAAGAGUAGAUCCUAAAACUUCAAGAGCCAGCGGCAAUCCUCCACAGUAAUUGACAACUUCUCUUUCAAGCGCAAGAUAUUGACUAGGACAACUACUACUUCUGAAAGCAUGCCAACUUAGGAGCUCAAGAGCUUCUUCUCGGUCCAUUACUUUCGCCCGAUAUAUCUUAUCAACUGCAAAUUCUUUUAGCACACGUUCGUUUCUAGUUGUGAUGAUGAUUCUGCUCCCCGGGCCAAAAAAGUGGCAAUUUCCAACUAAUUCGCGUAACUGCUUCACAUCGUCUACAUCAUCAACUAUGACAAGUACCUUUAAGCGUCGAAAUCUUUCCCUUACCAAGGCGGUCCCUGCAACAACACUGCUUACCUUUGUCUUGGUUUGCAAGAUAUCGAAAAGAAGUUGUUUUUGCAAUUUUUCUAGUUUCUUUUCCCUCACUUUUUCAAGGAAACUUUUACCUUCAAACCUUUCAUAAAAUAUGUUAUAAAUGGCUUGAGCAAUCGUUGUUUUACCUAUUCCACCCAUGCCUGAAAUUCCAAUCACACGAACAUCAUCUGAAUCUCCGAUGCCUAAAUAAUUACUGAUAUCUAGCACUCGAGUAUCUAUUCCGACUUGAUAGGGCGCUACGUCAAAGUAUUUGUUGUUCAACUUCGUAGUGACGUCAUUGGUAAUCAUCCUGAUAAACUUUGCUUCAUGCCUGGCAUUAGUCAAGUUGAGAAGCAAAACGAAGAUUGUUAUACAACGAAAUUGAACUAAUUAAUACACAAAAUUAUUUAUCAUGACUAGAGAUUUUAAUUAAGACAAUUUUUUGAGGUGGUGUGUUUAAACUUAGCAAACAUCAAUUAAGAUUAAAAUAUAAAUUUCAAUAAGAAACACAAACAAAAAAACCAGCAUCCCUUCCCUCUGCAGCUAGUCGCCGGCGUCUUCCCAGCUGUGAUUAGUGUAGCCUUAACAGUUUAAGCUUUAUUGUAUGAUUUUAUUACAGAG
RNAcentral lists this long non-coding RNA (42943 nucleotides) under Malus domestica (apple). Its description in RNAcentral is "long non-coding RNA (MDOM_LNC011684)". The record is from RNAcentral. Lineage: Eukaryota; Viridiplantae; Streptophyta; Magnoliopsida; Rosales; Rosaceae.